Molecule: ribosomal RNA, 420 nt
Filed under: Triticum aestivum (bread wheat)
Lineage: Eukaryota; Viridiplantae; Streptophyta; Magnoliopsida; Poales; Poaceae
Description: partial small subunit ribosomal RNA
Source: RNAcentral
AUGAUCGAGGACCUUGAGGCCAAAGUGAGUGCUCAUAGCGCGAGAUCUCACCCUCUCAUCGAUUUGUUCAUACCAACCAUCGACAGCGAGCACGGCAUAUGCUACACCUAUCCUGAGAAACUUCCAGGGCAUUCAAAAGGGGCACGUGGAUGCGUCAAGAUACAGUCGGAGUGCGGUAUGCAUGCGAUGUGGCACAAGACCGGCAAUACCUUGCCGGUGAUGGUCAACGGCCAGCAGACCGGUAGCAAAAAGGUUCUGGUGCUGCACACCAACAAGAAGUUCGACCAGCAGAGGAACAACUGGGUGAUGCACCAGUACCACCUUGGGGACCUGGAGCAAGAGAAGGAGCAGGAGCUGGUCCUCUGCAAGAUUUUUUACCAGACGAACACUAGGGCCAGGAGUAAAAAGAUUAUAAGUUAG